UACACAUGCAAGUCGAGCGGACAUCUUCGGAUGUUAGCGGCGGACGGGUGAGUAACGCGUGGGAAUAUGCCCUUUGGUACGGAAUAGCCUCGGGAAACUGGGAGUAAUACCGUAUGUGUCCUUCGGGAGAAAGAUUUAUCGCCAAAGGAUUAGCCCGCGUUGGAUUAGGUAGUUGGUGGGGUAAUGGCCUACCAAGCCGACGAUCCAUAGCUGGUUUGAGAGGAUGAUCAGCCACACUGGGACUGAGACACGGCCCAGACUCCUACGGGAGGCAGCAGUGGGGAAUCUUAGACAAUGGGGGAAACCCUGAUCUAGCCAUGACGCGUGAGCGAUGAAGGCCUUAGGGUUGUAAAGCUCUUUCAGUGGGGAAGAUAUGACGGUACCCACAGAAGAAGCCCCGGCUAACUCCGUGCCAGCAGCCGCGGUAAUACGGAGGGGGCUAGCGUUGUUCGGAAUUACUGGGCGUAAAGCGCACGUAGGCGGAUCGGAAAGUCAGAGGUGAAAUCCCAGGGCUCAACCUUGGAACGGCCUUUGAAACUCCUGGUCUUGAGGUCGAGAGAGGUGAGUGGAAUUCCGAGUGUAGAGGUGAAAUUCGUAGAUAUUCGGAGGAACACCAGUGGCGAAGGCGGCUCACUGGCACG
This 641-nucleotide ribosomal RNA is filed under the name uncultured bacterium. RNAcentral describes it as "bacterial SSU rRNA". It matches the Rfam family "Bacterial small subunit ribosomal RNA", at positions 50 to 736 of the family's 1533-position model. The record is from RNAcentral.